This 446-nucleotide ribosomal RNA is filed under the name uncultured bacterium. RNAcentral's name for it is "partial 16S ribosomal RNA". It matches the Rfam family "Bacterial small subunit ribosomal RNA", at positions 338 to 795 of the family's 1533-position model. The record is from RNAcentral.
CCUACGGGAGGCAGCAGUCGAGAAUCAUUCACAAUGGGGGAAACCCUGAUGGUGCGACGCCGCGUGGGGGAAUGAAGGUCUUCGGAUUGUAAACCCCUGUCAUGUGGGAGCAAAUUAAAAAGAUAGUACCACAAGAGGAAGAGACGGCUAACUCUGUGCCAGCAGCCGCGGUAAUACAGAGGUAUCAAGCGUUGUUCGGAAUCACUGGGCGUAAAGCGUGCGUAGGCUGUUUCGUAAGUCGGGUGUGAAAGGCGCGGGCUCAACCCGCGGACGGCAAAGGAAACUGCGAGACUAGAGUGAUGGAGGGGGAACCGGAAUUCUCGGUGUAGCAGUGAAAUGCGUAGAUAUCGAGAGGAACACUCGUGGCGAAGGCGGGUUCCUGGACAUUAACUGACGCUGAGGCACGAAGGCCAGGGGAGCGAAAGGGAUUAGAUACCCCAGUAGUC